This 333-nucleotide long non-coding RNA is filed under the name Parus major (Great Tit). RNAcentral describes it as "lncRNA (ENSPMJG00000020002.1)". Lineage: Eukaryota; Metazoa; Chordata; Aves; Passeriformes; Paridae. The record is from RNAcentral.
GGAAUCUGGUUCCUACCUCCCUGAACACCUCGGGCUUGGAGAGCAAUUACUCAGCACUGCAGGCUCUGGUGGAGAAUUAAAGAAAAUACAGUUGUGCCAGCUGGAGGUUGGGAGUUGGGAUUGUCAUCCCUGCAGCCACUUGGGAUGGUUCUCCAGGGAAGAUUCCACACAGAUUCCAACUCCUUGUAACCAAAUCCUGCUGCCCCAGACACCAUCACCUUCCUCAGGACAACAACUGAUGCCUUCACUGCUGAGGGAAAUGUGCAAGCCCUUAUUGCUCCUCAGGAGGUCACUGGGAAUGAUGUUAUCACUCCAUGGGGUCCCAGCACUGGC